RNAcentral lists this ribosomal RNA (433 nucleotides) under uncultured bacterium. Its description in RNAcentral is "partial 16S ribosomal RNA". It matches the Rfam family "Bacterial small subunit ribosomal RNA", at positions 29 to 507 of the family's 1533-position model. The record is from RNAcentral.
AACGAACGCUGGCGGCAUGCCUAACACAUGCAAGUCGAACGAGACCUCCGGGUCUAGGGGCGCCCGGGGUCGGAACGCGUGGGAAGCUGCCCUUAGGGUCGGAAUAACUCCCCGACAGGGGUGCUAAUACCGGACAAUAGCUUCGGACCAAUGAUAUAUCGCACUGGGAUGUGCCGCCGUUGGAUUAGCUAGUUGGUACGCUAAUAGCCGACCAAGGGGACCAUUCAUAGCUGGUCUGUGAGAAGGAUUAGCAACACUGAGAGUGAGACACGGCCCAGAAUCUUACGGGAGGCAGCAGUGCGGAAUAUUGCAACAUGGGCGGAGGGCAGAUCGAGCUAUGCCGCGUAAGUGAUGAAGGCCUUAGGGUUGUAAAGCUCUUUUACCCGGGAUCAUAAUGACAGUACCGGGACAAUAAGCUACGGCUAACUCCGUG